CGCCCCCUCUCAUCCCCUCCCCCACUCAUCCGACAGUGGCUACAUGCGCACACAACCGGCGACCAACAUCACGCAAAGGUCGCCACCGCCGUCGCCGAAGGACAGCGUUCCCCAAACGCUAGCCACAACCUCUGCCUCGGCCUCCUCGACCGCCACUCGCUCUUCUUGGCAGCACCGUGCUGCCUUCCUUCCCAUGCCGUGUCCACCAACUGCCCUGCUCGCACCGACCUCACCAAUCUCACGGUCGCGCUUGGCUGUGCUCGCCUUGUCCUCGCCGGCAUCGCAGCCGCAGGCCACGUGGACUAAAACUCCGCCGCCAGCGACAGUGGGUCCUUCCCGUGCCUCUACCACCUCAUGGCCAAGUCCUCCUCUCCCCAAAUCGACAUCCACCCCUUUGUCGAGCCUGCCAUGCCAGUAACAUGAGCAGGAUGGUGUACACCGGCUCGGGAUGAGGUCGACGUUGAUCAGUCGAACAGUUUGUGGAGCUGUACCAGGAUCCUAUAGAGCAGAUGGGCAUCAUUGAGAUGCAGUACACGCAUGCAGUACACACUCUCUUAGGUCAAGACAUGGCAGGAAAUGACAUUGUGAAGAAGUUGGCAGCUUCACG
This is a long non-coding RNA of Triticum dicoccoides, 607 nucleotides long. RefSeq lists it as uncharacterized. NCBI's taxonomy places the organism in Eukaryota, Viridiplantae, Streptophyta, Magnoliopsida, Poales, Poaceae. The transcript is spliced from 3 exons. The record is from RefSeq and is a predicted model, not a curated record.